This 660-nucleotide ribosomal RNA is filed under the name uncultured bacterium. RNAcentral describes it as "bacterial SSU rRNA". It matches the Rfam family "Bacterial small subunit ribosomal RNA", at positions 195 to 857 of the family's 1533-position model. The record is from RNAcentral.
CAGUGUGAAAAACUCCGGUGGUAUACGAUGGAUCCGCGUCUGAUUAGCCAGUUGGCGGGGUAACGGCCCACCAAAGCGACGAUCAGUAGCCGGCCUGAGAGGGUGAACGGCCACAUUGGGACUGAGACACGGCCCAAACUCCUACGGGAGGCAGCAGUGGGGAAUAUUGCACAAUGGGGGAAACCCUGAUGCAGCGACGCCGCGUGAGUGAAGAAGUAUUUCGGUACGUAAAGCUCUAUCAGCAGGGAAGAAAAAAAGUCCUUUGGACUUUGGACGGUACCUGACCAAGAAGCCCCGGCUAACUACGUGCCAGCAGCCGCGGUAAUACGUAGGGGGCAAGCGUUAUCCGGAUUUACUGGGUGUAAAGGGAGCGUAGACGGCAGCGCAAGUCUGGAGUGAAAUGCCGGGGCCCAACCCCGGAACUGCUUUGGAAACUGUGCAGCUGGAGUGCAGGAGAGGUAAGCGGAAUUCCUAGUGUAGCGGUGAAAUGCGUAGAUAUUAGGAGGAACACCAGUGGCGAAGGCGGCUUACUGGACUGUAACUGACGUUGAGGCUCGAAAGCGUGGGGAGCAAACAGGAUUAGAUACCCUGGUAGUCCACGCCGUAAACGAUGAUUACUAGGUGUCGGGGGGCCAAGGCCCUCCGGUGCCGCCGCAAACG